RNAcentral lists this ribosomal RNA (547 nucleotides) under uncultured Glomeromycotina. RNAcentral's name for it is "SSU rRNA". It matches the Rfam family "Eukaryotic small subunit ribosomal RNA", at positions 548 to 1097 of the family's 1831-position model. The record is from RNAcentral. Lineage: Eukaryota; Fungi; Glomeromycota.
UUGGAGGGCAAGUCUGGUGCCAGCAGCCGCGGUAAUUCCAGCUCCAAUAGCGUAUAUUAAAGUUGCUGCAGUUGAAAAGCUCGUAGUUGAAUUUCGGGACCAUCAUGUCGGUCGUGCCUCGGUACGUACUGGCAUUGUUGGUUUCUCCCUUCUGACGAACCAUGAUGUCAUUUAUUUGGUGUUGUGGGGAAUCAGGACUGUUACUUUGAGAAAAUUAGAGUGUUUAAAGCAGGCUCACGCUUGAAUACAUUAGCAUGGAAUAAUGAAAUAGGACGUUUGAUUCUAUUUUGUUGGUUUCUAGGAUCGACGUAAUGAUUAAUAGGGAUAGUUGGGGGCAUUAGUAUUCAAUUGUCAGAGGUGAAAUUCUUGGAUUUAUUGAAGACUAACUACUGCGAAAGCAUUUGCCAAGGAUGUUUUCAUUAAUCAAGAACGAAAGUUAGGGGAUCGAAGACGAUCAGAUACCGUCGUAGUCUUAACCAUAAACUAUGCCGACUAGGGAUCGGAUGAUGUUAAUUUUUUAAUGACUCAUUCGGCGCCUUACGGGAAA